Molecule: long non-coding RNA, 773 nt
Organism: Syngnathus typhle (broad-nosed pipefish)
Lineage: Eukaryota; Metazoa; Chordata; Actinopteri; Syngnathiformes; Syngnathidae
Exons: 4
Source: RefSeq, a predicted model, not a curated record
GGGGCUAUUGAUCGUUUUGAGAAGACACGCUUGCAGAUGAGCUCUGAACGGAGGAGUUGGAGCGCGUCAAAAGUUAGAGAGCGUCAAAAGUUGUUUCGAGAUGGUUAAAGAUAUAACCGUGUUUGCUGACGUGCAUAAAGUAUUUGAUGACGACUUUAGUGGAGUUUAUUUAACACAAUCAGACUACGAUCUCGUGGCGGCUGCUACUAGGCUAAAAAACCCACUGAUACAGACUGGUUUGGAGGCAGAACUAUCAGAGCCGCGUGAUUUCAACCAAAUCAUACCCCCCUCCGGCCGACAGGAGGUUGUCACGAGCUCUGCACGUCAUUUUAAAGCAACGAAAACAGCAGAGUUAUCAGAGCUACGUGAUAGCAGUCAAAUCAUACCCCCCUCCGGCCAGCAGGCAGCUGUCACGAGCAUAGAGACGGAAGAGGGAGCAUCCACAGACAUAGAAUUGGCGGACGCUUUAUCUGCUUACGAAGACCUUCCUCAAGAAUCGAUAAACAAAGUCAGAGUUAAGCGUUGUGGAACGGGACUGCUUCAAAGAGCGAGAAAGAGCAGACGUGCAGCCUUCUACUCAACCACUAAGGGGCCUGAAUCGACAAACGAGAGCCAUCACCAUAAGACAAGGCGUGCUAUAAAGUAACCGUCACAACUGCUAAACAUGAUAGCAGAAUUAAACAACCAAUUGUAAACACAAUUACCACUGCACUUUAUGCACGUCAUGUUUUAUAUGAUAACCUCAGUGUAUUAUUAUUAUUAUUAUACUAGUA